This 22-nucleotide small RNA is filed under the name Arabidopsis thaliana (thale cress). Its description in RNAcentral is "ATSL001900". The record is from RNAcentral. Lineage: Eukaryota; Viridiplantae; Streptophyta; Magnoliopsida; Brassicales; Brassicaceae.
AGAAACUGCAUAGCUCCAAAAC